Oidiodendron maius Zn is the source of this 101-nucleotide non-coding RNA. The record is from the annotation of a GenBank genome assembly. Lineage: Eukaryota; Fungi; Ascomycota; Leotiomycetes; Myxotrichaceae.
GGUCGAUUGGUGUAGCGGUUAUCACGUCUGCUUUACAAAGAGGUCCUUCCAAAAUCUCUUCCUAACGCAGCAGGUCCCCGGUUCGAUCCCGGGAUCGAUCA